Molecule: ribosomal RNA, 340 nt
Filed under: uncultured Pseudomonadota bacterium
Lineage: Bacteria; Pseudomonadati; Pseudomonadota
Description: bacterial SSU rRNA
Rfam family: Bacterial small subunit ribosomal RNA
Source: RNAcentral
AACGAACGCUGGCGGCGUGCCUAACACAUGCAAGUCGAACGGGAAUGUCGGGGCAACUCGACUAGUACCGUGGCGCACGGGUGAGUAAUACGUAGGUAACUUACCUUCCACAGGGGAACAACUUCGGGAAACCGAGGCUAAUACCGCAUACGUCUCAUCGUCGUAUUGGCGAUGAGGGAAAGGUGGCCUCUACACGUAAGCUAUCGGUGGAAGAUAGGCCUGCGCACCAUUAGCUAGUUGGUAGGGUAAUGGCCUACCAAGGCAACGAUGGUUAGCUGAUCUGAGAGGACGAUCAGCCACACUGGCACUGGAAUACGGGCCAGACUCCUACGGGUGGCUG